Non-coding RNA from Tribolium castaneum (red flour beetle), 104 nucleotides. The record is from RefSeq and is marked provisional. NCBI's taxonomy places the organism in Eukaryota, Metazoa, Arthropoda, Insecta, Coleoptera, Tenebrionidae.
AAGUUUUAUCCAAUUCUCAGGAUUCUUCUCAGGGUUUACAUGUUUUGGUCUAAAUAUGAAAUAUGUACAACCGUGAGUGGAGACCUGGGGGUUGGUUAGUCAAC